Molecule: transfer RNA, 85 nt
Filed under: Felis catus (domestic cat)
Lineage: Eukaryota; Metazoa; Chordata; Mammalia; Carnivora; Felidae
Rfam family: tRNA
About the family: Transfer RNA (tRNA) molecules are approximately 80 nucleotides in length.
Source: Rfam by way of RNAcentral
GCCUGGGUGGCUCAGUUGGUUAAGCAUCCGACUUCAACUCAGGUCAUGAUCUUACAGUUUGUGGGUUCAAGCCCUGCAUCAGGCU